Molecule: long non-coding RNA, 1073 nt
Organism: Pseudophryne corroboree (corroboree frog)
Lineage: Eukaryota; Metazoa; Chordata; Amphibia; Anura; Myobatrachidae
Exons: 3
Source: RefSeq, a predicted model, not a curated record
ACCGCACAAAAGCAAAACAGGGUAGUGCGCUACUAUAUGCCCAGGGCCGGCGCUACCAUUAGGCAGCUUUAGGCAGCUGCCUAGAGCGCCGGCCACCAGAGGGCGGCACAUAAUCAUUUCCACAAAAAAGUAAAGUUGUCCUACUUUUACAUGACAUCGGCAGCUGUGGGUCCUAUCAGCCACAGCCGCCCCUACAGUAUGUCCGAGUCCGACCCCACUGUAAUCCAUCACCCCACACUGGUGGUCAGGCGCUUGGAUCUACUGAGAUAUCAGCUACAGCGUAAUCAGACACAGACAGCAGGCAGCUAAGGGGCGUGUGCACAUGAUGAAGUGAAUGCCCCGUCCUAGCUCCUCUAUCUGCUCUUCCUCCUCUCAGCCUCAGAUCUCUCACACACAAGGCAGGACCUGCUCUCUGCUCUGGAGGAGGUGGGAGUAGUGUGUGCACGUAUUGCAUAGAGCUCCAGACUGCAGUGCAGCAAGAGAAUGCAUGAUCCAUGUGCAGCAGCAACUGCGGCGACUUUCCAAGAGAAAAAGAUCUAACGCGACAUUGUCACUCUAAAGCCUCCUGUUCGUGAGAGCUGGUCGUGAUUUUAUGUGAGAGUCUAUUGAAGUGUAAAAUGUUCUUUGCGGUUAUUGGGCUUUCAAGCCGGAACUGGUCUAGAAGCACCUCCAUCAUCGUCUGGGAAGAAACAGCAACUAGCAACUGUGUGAUCAGCAAUGUGUUAUCUAGUUUGGAGGAGGGAACUUUCUCAUUCAUGAUGAGUCACUGGUCUGUUCGUAUGCUAAACAGGUUCAGCCUUGAAGACAUCAAAAGGGUCUGGCCUGAGUUUCCUGUCCAUUGUCCUAAUAAGAGUGAUUUUAGCUUUCAUACAUUUAAUCAUAACUAUUUGUUGCAAUGUCCUACAACUUAAUAACAAGUACCAAAUGAAUCUACACAUUAAUCUGCUUGCUUUAAUACCAAAUAAUAAGGCCUAUCUUGCUUCGUUCCAAUAAUACACAUACAUGACAUUACUCCAUUAUAUAAUGUUAAAUCAUUAUGAUGUCUGGCGCUUGAUAUUAUUAUAAUUAUGUAC